AAGGGUCCGUAGGCGGUUUGGUAAGUCAGUGGUGAAAGCCCAUCGCUUAACGAUGGAACGGCCAUUGAUACUGCCAGACUUGAAUUACUAGGAAGUAACUAGGAAUAUGUAGUGUAGCGGUGAAAUGCUUAGAUAUUACAUGGAAUACCAAUUGCGAAGGCAGGUUACUACUAGUGGAUUGACGCUGAUGGACGAAAGCGUGGGGAGCGAACAGGAUUAGAUACCCUUGU
RNAcentral lists this ribosomal RNA (230 nucleotides) under uncultured bacterium. RNAcentral's name for it is "partial 16S ribosomal RNA". It matches the Rfam family "Bacterial small subunit ribosomal RNA", at positions 563 to 791 of the family's 1533-position model. The record is from RNAcentral.